Mesocricetus auratus (golden hamster) is the source of this 791-nucleotide long non-coding RNA. RefSeq lists it as uncharacterized. The transcript is spliced from 3 exons. The record is from RefSeq and is a predicted model, not a curated record. Lineage: Eukaryota; Metazoa; Chordata; Mammalia; Rodentia; Cricetidae.
AUAGAAGUUCUGGAAUACAGGGGAGGGCCCACUUCUGAGUCCUCCCCCAUUCACUCUCACGGCAGGAGAAGCCCUCCCCACUCCCAUGUCCUUAACAAGAGGCUCCUUCUGUGUGCUGUGUCUCAGGUGUUGCUGCAAGGUGUAAAUCCCCAGGGGCUGUUUGACUUACCAGGCAGCUGCCUAAGUUCUGCAGACUGGGAAAUCCAGAAGAUGGUGCUGGCAUCUGGUGAGGGUCUCUGUGCAUCAUGGGAAUGCCACAGGACAAGCAAGCCUGCUAGAGAGAACACUGAGCCAAACUCAGUCUUUGUCAGGAAACUUCUCCCAUGCUUCAUAGCUCAGAGAGGACCGAGCGGGUGGAGCCUCCUGAAUCCUAAUGAUGCUUCAAGCAGCCAUUCGGCCUGGAACAGACAGAACUACCUCUCUCCACAGCUGGGAUGAUCCUGUCUGGGUCCCCACACUGCCACGUCUGGAAAUUAAGGCUGUGGUUUCUGUCUGGUGUCCUGUUAAUUGGGUCAUUACUCCCAAAGACAAGGGAAUGAGUUUCUAGAGUUAUCACUUGAAGGAACAACACAUUGGAUAAUAAACCCCAGCUGUUUACAGAAAGCUACAUGUAUUCUAACAGCAUGCAAAAUAUCAAAACUCGACUAACAGAACAUUCGGGGUGGGCAGAGGACCCUGCCCAUCUCUGAGUCUAGGUGUUUUUGUGGAAGAUGAGGAGUAACGUUGCCAUUUCAGGAGUUUAUUGCACUCUUAGGGGGCAAGUCUGUGGCCUCUAGUGGUCUCUAAGAUGU